This 3280-nucleotide long non-coding RNA is filed under the name Citrus x clementina. RNAcentral describes it as "Citrus clementina (C. clementina) long non-coding RNA (CCLE_LNC001171)". Lineage: Eukaryota; Viridiplantae; Streptophyta; Magnoliopsida; Sapindales; Rutaceae. The record is from RNAcentral.
CAGAUAGUUUCAGAGAGAAGAAAGAAAGAAAGAAAUUAAGAGUUACAAGAUAAACUACAAAGCCAAACUCAAGAACAUACUUAACUCUUAGUAAUCAGCUAUUAAUUAUAUCAACAACUCAUGGGAGGAAGAUCAGAGGUUUUUGGAGGGGGUGAUGAUUUAUUAAAAACCCUGCUGCCAAAAAUAAAGAAUCCAAAAGUAUGACCAGCAACAGCCACCAAAAACACACCUCCAUUAAAGGACAUAAUAGCAAGCAUCACCAAGAAAGCAAGCCCAACCCUGAUUGCAUGUAAAAGAGUCUGAAUCAAACCAGCAGCCACAUGAUUUGCAUCAGGCUUCAUCAAUUUGCAGUGAGAGAGCCACUCAACCAACACAGCCAACACAAACACAACAAUCAAAGCUAAGGCAUACAUUCCUGAGCUUGUUCCAGGCCAGCCUGAGAAGAGAAUUUCAGAGUUCUUGCCCCAGAAAAACGUCAUGUGCAUCAUGUUGUGAUGAUGCAUCAUCGUCCCUGUGUUAUUGGUGUUGUUCAUUGACAUGGGCGGUGACAUGCUUCCAUGAUCAUGAUGCAUGCCAUCCAUGGCUUUGCUAAUGUUUGCUGAUCUCUCUUGGGAGUCUUUUAUUGAAAGUUUCUUUCUUUCUUUCUUUCUUUCGGUGCUUUGAGGUAAUGAGAGACGGUAGGUUUCAUAUUUAUUUCUGUUAUAAGUAUGACUGUUUCAGCGAUUAAUGAGAGAUUGAUAGUACAUCGGGACUUGUAAUUUUCUGUACUGCACAAAGCUAAAUGGAGUUAUGGCCACAAUAACGUGCAAUAUUUGAAAUAGACGGCCGCGUUUUAUUAAUUUUUAUGGACAUUGAGAUACUCUAAAUUCUUUUAUAUACAUGUAUAGAAUUCAUUAAUAGAAGAGAGUAUAGGGUUCGAAACUCAAUCUUAUGGAUGAGGAUGAAAUUAAAUUAAUGUUUGGUUAAUUGAUACUAAAAAUAAAUAAAAGUAAUUACAUAGAGUUCAAGGCAUCAUUUGAAAUUACCGUUGAAACGUUAAAAAUAAUUUAUUUAUUUUUUAUUAAAAAAAUGAGUAAAUUUUUAAAGUUUGAUAUUAUUAUAAAGUUAUUUAUGUAAGUUGAUGUUAUUUUUUGAAGACAAUAAGACAUAUAUAAGCGUUUGGGUAUCUUAUAUUGUUAGUAUUAGAUGCUAUAAUAUAAAUCAUAACGGUAGAAUAUCAUAUUACCACAGUAAUCCCAAACUGAGGCUAAAUAUUAAUUUUUAAUAUAUAUGUAAACAAUCGGGAUUUACUAUUUAUUUUAAAAUGUAUAUUGUCCAUUGAGACAAAUUUUGGUGCUUGCGUCUCUUUUUCUCAAGGAAAAUUUAUUUGAGGGUUGGAUAAGAAUUAAGAGAGUAAUUGAAUUAUUUCUAAAAAAAAAGAGAGAGUAAUUGAAUUAUAAAUUUGUACUUUCUUAAUGUACAAAUUUGAUAGUACAGACUAACCGUCCUUAUCUGAUAUUAGAGGUUGAAAUUUUUUUGGUGAAAUGUGAGGGGUUAAAAUGUGUAGAAUAUAAUAUUUGAAAGAUCAACGUUUAAAAAAUAGUACUUGAUAUGUCAAAUCUGUAGAUGCAAUAGUUUUAAGGGAUUCAAAAUGAGGAGUUAAAAAAAAAGAAAAAAAAAAGAGUCUCUCUUAACCUGAAUUUAGCUAGAAAAUGAAACGACACCAAUUAUUGAUACGAUUUUCACAAAACUAAAUAGAUGUUAAGAUUAUGAUUAGCAAAUGCAAAGAUGCAUUUUAGUCCUGUCUAAUAGCAAAGUUUUCACAUUCAAUUGAGUGUAAUACAUAUAACAACGGAAGCUUUCAUUAAUAAGUUGUGUGUGGUGUAGCCGUGUAGGCAACAAACACACAGCACCAUUCACCAUUAAAUCUAAUUUACUUAGUUGAUUUCUCCCCCGCCACCCCCCCCCCCCCCCCCACCAAAAAAAAAGGCUUGAAUUACGCUUUCUGUCUUUUUUUUUUUUUUGGGUUUAUAGAUAUAAUGAGUUCCAUUAUUGGUGCUAUUGAAAAGUGGGAAAAUAAUCAUAAUUCUUAUAACAUUAAUAUUCCUUCUUUCAAUAUCGCAAUUACGUCCUUCUCUUUAUAGGUAAGGACAUUUUUGAAAUUACACCUUUUAAGAUAUUAGUUAAAUUAAUGUUUGUAAUAGGGAAGUUUUAUCCACCUCAGAUCAGAAAAUAGGCGCCAAUCUCCUUUCAUUUUCACACUAAAUGGUGUAUGUUGAUUCUGAUAUGGGGAAUUAACAAUUUCGCAAAAUGAAAACCCUCUUGCAAUCUCAGGCCUAUAGCCAUGUUUGCACCAUAUGCAAUCAAAUUGCUGAAAUCUAGUAAACUAAUAUUUUUUUUGGUUUUUGACUACGAGGUAUCCUGGAGAGGGCUUCAAUUGUGGGAGGCACUUUUAAACCCGUACCACAACCCAGACUAGAAGUUCCCGCUCGAACCGAGAGGCACAUAUUCUCCCAACAAAGACGACUUCCCUGCGACUCGAACUGGGGAGCAAACACAGUCAAGCCACUUAAAGGGACUCCAUUACCAGUGGAAACAACACUUUGUUGGUCUAGUAAACUAAAUAUUAAUAAACUGAAAUUUCUCCCCCAAAAUACGGUUCUUCAUAAUCAAUGUUUGGUUUUUUACAGAGUGUUUCAGAGAGAAGAAAGAAAGAAAGAGUUACAAGAUAAACUACAAAUUAAGCCCAAUCCAAGAACAUACUACAAUAAAUUAUGUAUGUCAACAACUCAAUUAAGGAAGACCACAGGUUUUUGGAGGGGGUGAUGAUUUAUUAAAAAACCUGCUACCAAAACUCGAGAACCCAAAAGUAUGACCAGCAACAGCCACCAAAAACACACUGCAUUAAAGGACAUGAUAGCAAGCAUCACGAAGAAAGCAAGACCAACCCUGAUUGCAUGCAGAAGAGUCUGAAUCAAACCAGCGGUUGCAUGAUUUGCACCAGGCUUCAUCAAUUUGCAAUGAGAGAGCCGCUCAACCAACACAGCCAACACAAACACAAGUAUCAAAGCUAACACAUACAUUCCUGGGCUUGUUCCAGGCCAGCCUGAGAAGAGAAUUUCAGAAUUCUUCCCCCAGAAAAACGUCAUGUGCGUCAUCGUGUUGUGAUGGUGCAUCAUCGUCCCUCUGUUGUUGGGAGGUGGCAUGCUCCCACGAUCAUGAUGCAUGCCAUCCAUGGCUUUGCUAAUAAUAUUGCUUGCUCUCUCUUUGGGGUCCUUUUGCAAAAGAUUGAAAGUUUCUU